CAGUCGCCGCGGGAAUACGUAGGUCCCGAGCGUUGUCCGGAUUUAUUGGGCGUAAAGGGAGCGCAGGCGGUCAGGAAAGUCUGGAGUAAAAGGCUAUGGCUCAACCAUAGUGUGCUCUGGAAACUGUCUAACUUGAGUGCAGAAGGGGAGAGUGGAAUUCCAUGUGUAGCGGUGAAAUGCGCAGAUAUAUGGAGGAACACCAGUAGCGAAAGCGGCUCUCUGGUCUGUCACUGACGCUGAGGCUCGAAAGCGUGGGUAGCGAACAGGAUUAGAUACCCCGAGUAGUCCCUGUCUCUUAUAA
Molecule: ribosomal RNA, 301 nt
Filed under: uncultured bacterium
Lineage: Bacteria
Description: partial 16S ribosomal RNA
Rfam family: Bacterial small subunit ribosomal RNA
Source: RNAcentral